Molecule: ribosomal RNA, 334 nt
Filed under: uncultured Bacteroidota bacterium
Lineage: Bacteria; Pseudomonadati; Bacteroidota
Description: bacterial SSU rRNA
Rfam family: Bacterial small subunit ribosomal RNA
Source: RNAcentral
AAACUGUGAGCAAGGUGGGGAUUACGCCAAAUUAUCUAGGUCUUUACGUCCUGGGCCACACAGGUGCUACAAUGGAGGGAACAGAGGGCAGCCAGUUUGCAAGAAGGGGGGAAUAUAUUACACCGGUGUCAUUUCGGAUUGGAGUCUGAAACUCGAUUCCUUGAAGCUGGAAUUGCUAGUAAUCGAAUAUCAGCCUAUGAUUCGGAAAAUAGGUCGGUUGUCAUAGAUCACACCCCUCGUCAAACCAUGGAAUCUGGGAGUGCCCCAAGUCGGUAACCGCAAGGACCCGCAUAUGGUAAAACUAGUAAUUGGGGGUAAGUCGUAACAAGGUAGC